AGUGCUAAAUAUCUGAAAUGUCUUCUGCCACUUUAAUUAUGUGUUAUUCGUCUGAAGAUUCACAUAUUGCUUUGGGAUAAUAUUUUUUAUUCGCUUGCAGACACAUAUUUUGCAUUUGUUAGUUGAGAAUCAAAAUGCCAACAGAUGAUGUUAAUGCACUGUGCAUAUACUUGUUGAUGGAAGAACAACUUUUCCAUCAACGUUUGAUUUUAUUACUGGUAGCUUACCAUAUUAUGGUUAGGAUGGCAUCACGUAAACGAAAAAGAGGUUCCAAUAGGGCAGCUUUUGGUAUGAUUGAACGCAUUCCUGAUCAAGUUAUGCAUAUGAAUAGGCUUGUGGGUGUUAGUGAUGUCGAUUGUCUAGCGAACUUACGCAUGGACCGCAACACAUUCGGUCGACUUUGCAUUUUAUUACGUGAUUUAAGGGGGUUAUCAGAUGGGAGGUUCAUUAAGGUGUAAGAACAAGUGGCAAUGUUUUUGUCCAUUUUAGCACACCACAAAAAAAUAGGGUUGUGAGGUUCGAUUUUUGGCGGCCCGGUCAAACUGUGUCAAAAUUCGUGCACCUCGUCCUAAAGGCAAUUCUAAAAUUGCACAUUGUUUUACUUGUCAAACCUGUCCCCGUUCCAGAUGAUUGUAUGGACAACAGAUGGCGAUGGUUCAAGGGUUGUUUGGGUGCUCUUGAUGGCACAUAUAUAAACGUACUGGUGAGCAAUGCUGACAAGCCUAGGUACCUAACACGGAAAGGCCAGAUAUCUACUAACACUCGCUGUUUGUGAUCAAAAUAUGAAGUUCGUCUACGCGUUGCCUGGUUGGGAGGGUUCAGCGACGGAUUCAAGAAUAUUACGUGAUGCCCUCAUACGGGUGAAUGGGUUAAGGGUGCCUAAAGGAAACUAUUAUCUAUGCGACAACGGGUACGCCAAUAGCGAGGGAUUUCUUACUCCGUACAAGAGCAUACGCUACCAUCUAAAGGAAUGGGGACCGAACACAGCCCGACCGCAAAAUGCAAUGGAAUUAUUCAACCUACGCCAUUCGAAGGCACGAAACGUUAUUGAACAUGCUUUCGGAAUUAUGAAAAUGCGUUGGGGUAUCUUGAGAAGCAAGACCUUUUAUCCCGUGAAGACCCAAAACCGACUAAUCAUGUCGUGCUUCAUUUUGAAUAAUUUCAUCUGAGCGGAAAUGGCCGACGAUCCUAUCAAGCAAGAAUUUGAUAAUGCAACUACGAACGAGCAGGAGGAUGCUGAGAUUGAGGGUGAAUUCAUCGAUGGAAUAGAGUCUUCACCCGUAUGGAAUGCGGAGCGAGAUGCAAUUGCCCAAGCCAUGUGGCUCAAUUAUUUAAACAACAUUUGAAUUGCUUCACAUUUGUAGAUUUUCUAGUGAAACUUGGCUCGUUUUGUCUGCACACAUUUGCUAGGGACUAAAGAUUGCCUAACUGACCUUACUUUUAGUUGCAAU
This is a long non-coding RNA of Salvia miltiorrhiza (redroot sage), 1451 nucleotides long. RefSeq lists it as uncharacterized. The transcript is spliced from 3 exons. The record is from RefSeq and is a predicted model, not a curated record. Lineage: Eukaryota; Viridiplantae; Streptophyta; Magnoliopsida; Lamiales; Lamiaceae.